GACGAACGCUGGCGGCGUGCUUAACACAUGCAAGUCGAACGGAAAGGCCCUGCUUUUGUGGGGUGCUCGAGUGGCGAACGGGUGAGUAACACGUGAGUAACCUGCCCUUGACUUUGGGAUAACUUCAGGAAACUGGGGCUAAUACCGGAUAGGAGCUCCUGCUGCAUGGUGGGGGUUGGAAAGUUUCGGCGGUUGGGGAUGGACUCGCGGCUUAUCAGCUUGUUGGUGGGGUAGUGGCUUACCAAGGCUUUGACGGGUAGCCGGCCUGAGAGGGUGAACGGCCCCAUUGGGACUGAGAUACGGCCCAGACUCCCACGGGAGGGAGGAGUGGGGAAUAUUGCAAAAUGGGCGGAAGGCUGAUGCAGCAACGCCGGGUGCGGGAUGACGGCCUUCGGGUUGGAAACCGCUUUCGCCUGUGACGAAGCGUGAGUGACGGUAAUGGGUAAAGAAGCACCGGCUAACUACGUG
RNAcentral lists this ribosomal RNA (468 nucleotides) under uncultured bacterium. RNAcentral describes it as "partial 16S ribosomal RNA". It matches the Rfam family "Bacterial small subunit ribosomal RNA", at positions 28 to 507 of the family's 1533-position model. The record is from RNAcentral.